This 68-nucleotide transfer RNA is filed under the name Coleoptera sp. ACP-2013. Its description in RNAcentral is "tRNA-Ala". Lineage: Eukaryota; Metazoa; Arthropoda; Insecta; Coleoptera. The record is from RNAcentral.
GGAUAAUAGUUAAAUAAUAAUUUUUAAUUUGCAUUUAAAAGAUAUUGAAUAAAAUCAAUUUAUCUUAU